Non-coding RNA from Epithele typhae, 101 nucleotides. The record is from the annotation of a RefSeq genome assembly. NCBI's taxonomy places the organism in Eukaryota, Fungi, Basidiomycota, Agaricomycetes, Polyporales, Epitheliaceae.
GACACUAUGGCCGAGUGGUUAAGGCGACAGAUUCGAACGCGUCCGACUAUUUGACCAUCUGUUUCCCUCUGGGAGCGCAGGUUCAAAUCCUGCUGGUGUCG